GCGAUCAAACCAGAACUAAUGCACCGGAUCCCAUCAGAACUCCGCAGU
This 48-nucleotide ribosomal RNA is filed under the name Chenopodium ugandae. The record is from RNAcentral. Lineage: Eukaryota; Viridiplantae; Streptophyta; Magnoliopsida; Caryophyllales; Amaranthaceae.